UGGGCCCCAAUUCACAUACAACAUAACAAAUAAAGCCGGUUGCUUUUAAACUUCUUAAAUUAAUAUUAGUAAAUCAUACACAAAAACGAUAAGUCUUAUAAGAGCGACAUGAUAAUAUACUCAGUCAUCUGCUUCUUACAUAACAUACAUAUGUGUUAAAAUUAUGUGUUAAAGCAUGCCAAAAAAAUAUUAACAUGAAAACCUUCGAUGACUCAAAAAAGAAAAAAGAAAGCAGAGGGAGAGCCUUAAAUAUCCUAACGGCGCCAGCAACUAACCGCAUAGACAAUUAGGGCAGAACCAUCGCGUCUCGUCGUGGAUGAAUCACAUUGGCGGAGAAGCUUUUUUACGGCUGUCAUCAAUCUACCGAUGCCGUUCUCAAGUGAGCUCUAGUUAUUAGCCUUGUAACUCGGGGAACGCUCUCAUUUCUGAUCUACAACAUCAAGUUCCACUUAGUGCGAUGCUGAAGCAAUCCUACGUUCUCUCCUGGUGAUCAAGACAAUUACGAUUUAAAACGGUGAGGUGUUGAGCAGUGCAAUGUAGGAUUAUCUGAAAGAGUCCAGAAGCAAGUUAGUGACAUCCAGAAGGAAAUGAUUCUUGGACGUUUUGACCGCCGCCCCAAACAAUCAACCGCAGUGAGGAGAACGUAUGGGAAUGAAUUGUAUAUCUGCUUAGGGCGUAUACGAGUGCAAAUGAUCUUGAAAACGCUGCCAUAGGCAAAUGUGGCGGUCCACUGCGAAGGCGGCUUUUAAAAUAGAAAGGAAAUGUGAAUUGCGGCUUAGUUCUGAUACAAAUAAAUAAAAUUGCUCUCAAUACCAGAACCGAUGACGAAUGACAGCAAGCGUGGUCAUUCAGGUUUCAUAAAUGUAAAUUCAUAAUUAAUGAACGGGAUGUGUUAUGUUGCCGCAGCAAAAUUAUAAGAUGACAUCAAGCUUUGAAUUUCCAAGUCUUUCUCCUACUCGCAACAUUAUAAACAAAUCAAUAAACAGCGUAGGCGAUAUUAAAGAUCUUAAUGUAGAAAUAAAUAAGCAGAAUGAAAAAAGAAUCGGAUAGCCGAUUUUAGAGAAAAUCCAGAAUCCGUUGAGCGUUGCAUGAACCAAUCGAAGUAUUCGGAAAUGCACUCCAAUUUACCAAAUGACGUCAGAAAAUUUGCUGCCAAACGACAGAUUGGCAAGACAACUAAUAGUUUUUCGCCGCUCAGCGAGGCACCUGGGCAACACAAUAUAGUCUACUUAGCCCUAGAGGAAUACAUGGAUCAUGCCACAAUUGUAUCUCAAUAAUAUCACUAGGUUGCUGGGUUAAUAGCCGUUAAAAUGCAUUAAUACUUGUUUCAUAUAAACUGUGUAUUUCACGGUCAGAAUAAGGAUGUGCUUCAUGACGAGGGAAGCGAAGGCAUGUAGUGUCGUCGCAAAGCAAGUUUUUCUUUAUACGAUUGCUGAAGAUUAUUGCUUUUAUGACACCAGGUCAAAUUUAUUUCAAAUGGAUAUUAAAAUCUGGGGAUAGUGGCGAGAAUAGAGGGCCAUUAGAUCAAAUAGGCAUAAGAUGGAAAAAAUCAUAAAAUACACCAUCCAAAAAUCUGAAUAUCAGGGGAGCCACAGAAAACACUUCCACUCGAAUUUCUCUUCAAUUUCACUUGUAGGUGCCACAGACCCCAUUUCAUGAGGAUUAUACUGCCAGUGCUUAUGCUAAGAACAACAAUGAAACUUCUCUUUUAAAUAAGAAUUUGUGAAUAAUAAUUUGUUAAAAUUACCAUUUUUUUUUAAAAUACUAAUCAAAUUUUAUAAAUCGGCAAAACGCUUCAGUGAUGCUGAUGAUUUUUAUACCCGCUACCCAUAGGGUAGACGGGUAUUAUAACUUUGUGCCGGCAGGAAAUGUAUGUAACAGGUAGAAGGGGGCAUCUCCGACCCUAUAAAGUAUAUAUAUUCUUGAUCAGGGUCAACAGCCGAGUCGAUCUAGCCAUGCCCGUCUGUCUGUCUGUCCGUAUGAACACCUAGAUCUCAGAGGCUAUAAGAGAUAGAGCUAUAUUCUUUGCAUUUGUUAUAUUUCCACGCAGAUCAAGUUUGUUUCAAAUUUUUGCCACGCACACUUCCGCCCUCGCAAAUCAAGAAAAAGCGUAACUUUAAAGCUAGAGUCGAAUUUUUGUAUAUAUAUAAUAAUUAUAGUAGUUAUGAUUCCUGAAAAUUUGGUUGCGAUCAGAUAAAAAUGGUGGAAGUUAUUAAAGAAAUACUUUUGUAUGAGUAAAAACACCUACUUACUAGGGGUCUUAGUUGCUUUGGCUGACAAUCUGGUAUAUUGUGCCAUCUAUGGUAUAUUUUGAAUGUGGUACUACAUCGAUACUAUAGUUUUAGUAUUUUUGUAGUAUUUUGGUAUAUUUUGAGAAUACCGCAAUAUUUUGCUUUUAUUAACAUGUUUGUAUCCGAAUUCGUAUCACAAGUGUUUUAAAAAAUGUAUUAAACGUAGUUAAAAUUUAUUAAAAACAGGUAAAGAAAAAUGUAUAUUUUUUAGAAUGAAUCGACAUUUUCUAUUUAUUUCUGUAGUUAUUGUGCAAUUUGCAAAAACAUUUGCAGCAUGUGUUGUUUAGAUUAUGAUAUUGUAUUGCAACAUUGUAAACAAAACAAUUGAAGAAGAAGAAGAGUACUACCAACAUUUAAACCAAUA
This is a long non-coding RNA of Drosophila albomicans, 2655 nucleotides long. RefSeq lists it as uncharacterized. The record is from RefSeq and is a predicted model, not a curated record. Lineage: Eukaryota; Metazoa; Arthropoda; Insecta; Diptera; Drosophilidae. The transcript has 3 exons.